CCUACGGGCGACAGCAGUGGGGAAUAUUGCACAAUGGGGGAAACCCUGAUGCAGCGACGCCGCGUGAGUGAAGAAGUAAUUCGUUAUGUAAAGCUCUAUCAGCAGGGAAGAAAAUGACGGUACCUGAGUAAGAAGCCCCGUCUAACUACGUGCCAGCAGCCGCGGUAAUACGUAGGGGGCAAGCGUUAUCCGGAUUUACUGGGUGGAAAGGGAGCGUAGACGGCAGUGCAAGUCUGGAGUGAAAGGCGGGGGCUCAACCCCCGGACUGCUCUGGAAACUGUACGGCUGGAGUGCAGGAGAGGUAAGUGGAAUUCCUAGUGUAGCGGUGAAAUGCGUAGAUAUUAGGAGGAACACCAGUGGCGAAGGCGGCUUACUGGACUGUAACUGACGUUGAGGCUCGAAAGCGUGGGGAGCAAACAGGAUUAGAUACCCCAGUAGUC
This 440-nucleotide ribosomal RNA is filed under the name uncultured bacterium. Its description in RNAcentral is "partial 16S ribosomal RNA". It matches the Rfam family "Bacterial small subunit ribosomal RNA", at positions 338 to 795 of the family's 1533-position model. The record is from RNAcentral.